RNAcentral lists this ribosomal RNA (505 nucleotides) under uncultured Geobacter sp. RNAcentral describes it as "bacterial SSU rRNA". It matches the Rfam family "Bacterial small subunit ribosomal RNA", at positions 335 to 831 of the family's 1533-position model. Lineage: Bacteria; Pseudomonadati; Thermodesulfobacteriota; Desulfuromonadia; Geobacterales; Geobacteraceae. The record is from RNAcentral.
ACUCCUACGGGAGGCAGCAGUGGGGAAUUUUGCGCAAUGGGGGAAACCCUGACGCAGCAACGUCGCGUGAGUGAUGAAGGCCUUCGGGUCGUAAAGCUCUGUCAGAGGGAAAGAAAUGUAAUUGUGCUAAUAUCAUGAUUACUUGACGGUACCCUCAAAGGAAGCACCGGCUAACUCCGUGCCAGCAGCCGCGGUAAUACGGAGGGUGCAAGCGUUGUUCGGAAUUAUUGGGCGUAAAGCGCGUGUAGGCGGUUUGUUAAGUCUGAUGUGAAAGCCCCGGGCUCAACCUGGGAAGUGCAUUGGAAACUGGCAGACUUGAAUACGGGAGAGGGUAGUGGAAUUCCUAGUGUAGGAGUGAAAUCCGUAGAUAUUAGGAGGAACACCGGUGGCGAAGGCGGCUGCCUGGACCGAUAUUGACGCUGAGACGCGAAAGCGUGGGGAGCAAACAGGAUUAGAUACCCUGGUAGUCCACGCCGUAAACGAUGAGAACUAGGUGUCGCGGGUA